AGCCCGCUCAGAAACUACAAAGGAAUUGACGGGGGCCCGACACAAGCGGUGGAGCAUGUGGUUUAAUUCGAUGAUACGCGAGGAACCUUACCUGGGCUCAAAUGUAUGUUGACGUAUUCUGAAAGGGAUACUUCUUCGGACAAUAUACAAGGUGCUGCAUGGUUGUCGUCAGCUCGUGCCGUGAGGUGUCGGGUUAAGUCCCAUAACGAGCGCAACCCCUAUCAUUAGUUGCCAUCAGGUCAAGCUGGGGACUCUAAUGAAACUGCCUACGCAAGUAGUGAGGAAGUGGGGAUGACGUCAAAUCAGCACGGCCCUUACGUCCAGGGCUACACACGUGCUACAAUGGCCGGUACAAAGGGCAGCUACCUGGUGACAGGAUGCUAAUCUCAAAAGCCGGUCUCAGUUCGGAUCGGAGUCUGCAACCCGACUCCGUGAAGCUGGAAUCGCUGGUAAUCGCGCAUCAGCCAUGGCGCGGUGAAUACGUUCCCGGGCCUU
This 495-nucleotide ribosomal RNA is filed under the name uncultured Sphingobacteriales bacterium. RNAcentral describes it as "bacterial SSU rRNA". It matches the Rfam family "Bacterial small subunit ribosomal RNA", at positions 903 to 1382 of the family's 1533-position model. Lineage: Bacteria; Pseudomonadati; Bacteroidota; Sphingobacteriia; Sphingobacteriales. The record is from RNAcentral.